AGCAAACCUGUGAGAAAGAGUAGUAAGCAUCAGGAAAUAUUUCAGAGAGCCGCAGCUGGUGGAAAUGCGGUAUAGGAACUCAUGCUGAAUGGACUUUUGAGGCCGGCCUGAAUGAAGUAGGCGUCGGCGGGAAUCCGGGCCCGUUAUCAAUCCGGCGUGCAUAAUUGUGCAUGCAUAUGGUAUGGAAUUUAUUUUCAGCCGUAUGGAAAGAGUGGACGAAAUGUCAAUUUGAGUGGUACCGCGAUAAUAACAGGAUUAUUACCGCCUCAAGC
This 272-nucleotide non-coding RNA is filed under the name Lachnospiraceae bacterium. Its description in RNAcentral is "T-box sequence". It matches the Rfam family "T-box leader". Rfam says of the family: Uncharged tRNA acts as the effector for transcription antitermination of genes in the T-box leader family. T-boxes are found upstream of many aminoacyl-tRNA synthetase genes and some amino acid biosynthetic genes usually in Gram-positive bacteria. The anticodon of a specific tRNA base pairs to a specifier sequence within the T-box motif, and the NCCA acceptor tail of the tRNA base pairs to a conserved bulge in the T-box antiterminator hairpin. The record is from RNAcentral. Lineage: Bacteria; Bacillati; Bacillota; Clostridia; Lachnospirales; Lachnospiraceae.